AGUGAACGCUGGCGGUAGGCCUAACACAUGCAAGUCGAACGGCAGCACAGUAAGAGCUUGCUCUUACGGGUGGCGAGUGGCGGACGGGUGAGGAAUACAUCGGAAUCUACUUUUUCGUGGGGGAUAACGUAGGGAAACUUACGCUAAUACCGCAUACGACCUACGGGUGAAAGCAUGGGAUCUUCGGAUCUUGCGCGAUUGAAUGAGCCGAUGUCGGAUUAGCUAGUUGGGGGGGUAAAGGCCCACCAAGGCGACGAUCCGUAGCUGGUCUGAGAGGAUGAUCAGCUACACUGGAACUGCGACACGGUCCAGACUCCUACGGGAGGCAGCAGUGGGGAAUAUUGGACAAUGGGCGCAAGCCUGAUCCAGCCAUACCGCGUGGGUGAAGAAGGCCUUCGGGUUGUAAAGCCCUUUUGUUGGGAAAGAAAAGCAGCAGGUUAAUACCCCGCUGUUCUGACGGUACCCAAAGAAUAAGCACCGGCUAACUUCGUG
This 492-nucleotide ribosomal RNA is filed under the name uncultured bacterium. RNAcentral describes it as "partial 16S ribosomal RNA". It matches the Rfam family "Bacterial small subunit ribosomal RNA", at positions 29 to 507 of the family's 1533-position model. The record is from RNAcentral.